Molecule: transfer RNA, 75 nt
Filed under: Bacteroidota bacterium
Lineage: Bacteria; Pseudomonadati; Bacteroidota
Also listed under: 1 other name
Description: Bacteroidetes bacterium (freshwater metagenome) tRNA-Val
Rfam family: tRNA
About the family: Transfer RNA (tRNA) molecules are approximately 80 nucleotides in length. Their secondary structure includes four short double-helical elements and three loops (D, anti-codon, and T loops).
Source: RNAcentral
GGGCUGUUAACUCAGUUGGUUUAGAGUGUUACCUUGACAGGGUAGAAGUCACAAGUUCGAGUCUUGUACAGCCCA